This 484-nucleotide ribosomal RNA is filed under the name uncultured bacterium. RNAcentral describes it as "partial 16S ribosomal RNA". It matches the Rfam family "Bacterial small subunit ribosomal RNA", at positions 30 to 507 of the family's 1533-position model. The record is from RNAcentral.
AUUGAACGCUGGCGGCAGGCCUAACACAUGCAAGUCGAGCGGAUGAAGGGAGCUUGCUCCUGGAUUCAUCGGCGGACGGGUGAGGAAUGCCUAGGAAUCUGCCUGGUAGUGGGGGAUAACGUUCGGAAACGGGCGCUAAUACCGCAUCCGUCCUGAGGGAGAAAGUGGGGGAUCUUCGGACCUCACCCUAUCACAUGAGCCUAGGUCGGAUUAGCUAGUUGGUGGGGUAAAGGCCUACCAAGGCGACGAUCCGUAACUGGUCUGAGAGGAUGAUCAGUCACACUGGAACUGAGACACGGUCCAGACUCCUACGGGAGGCAGCAGUGGGGAAUAUUGGACAAUGGGCGAAAGCCUGAUCCAGCCAUGCCGCGUGUGUGAAGAAGGUCUUCGGAUUGUAAAGCACUUUAAGUUGGGAGGAAGGGCAGUAAGUUAAUACCUUGCUGUUUUGACGUUACCAACAGAAUAAGCACCGGCUAACUUCGUG